Molecule: small RNA, 943 nt
Filed under: Mycoplasmopsis synoviae
Lineage: Bacteria; Bacillati; Mycoplasmatota; Mycoplasmoidales; Metamycoplasmataceae
Description: bacterial LSU rRNA
Rfam family: Bacterial large subunit ribosomal RNA (bases 448-943)
Source: RNAcentral
CGCCCGUCACACCAUGGGAGCUGGUAAUGCCCGAAGUCGGUUUGUUAACUUCGGAGACGACUGCCUAAGGCAGGACCGGUGACUGGGGUGAAGUCGUAACAAGGUAUCCCUACGAGAACGUGGGGAUGGAUUACCUCCUUUCUUACGGAGUACAUUAUUUUUACAAAAGGCAUUUUUUAUUAACUGAAAGCUUUUAGAUUUUUCUAAAAGCGGUUGUGUAUCGCUUUUUUUGCCUUGGGCUAUUGUAUUUAGUUUUGAGAGAACAACCUCUCUUAAAAUUGUUCUUUGAAAACUAAAUAGUAAUAAAGAUAUUACAACGACAUCAAAAAUAUAAAUUAAUUAAGGUUAAUUUGUUUUGAUACCGAGUUUAAAUUAUUGAAUAAUAAUUUAUUAAAAUGUCUUUGAAUACAUCAUAACAACAUAACAAUAGGACAUAUUGAUACUAACUUUUAAAAAAGUAAGAGUGUGUAGUGGAUGCCUUGGGUCUUAAAGUCGAUGAAGGACGUGAUUACCUGCGAUAAGCCUCGUUGAGCUGGAUAUAAGCUACAAAACGGGGAUUUCCGAAUGGGGGAACCUAAUUAGAUUCAAAUCUAAUUGAUUUAUAGUGAAUUCAUAGCUAUAAAUGCGAGACACGUUGCGAACUGAAACAUCUUAGUAGCAACAGGAAAAGAAAAUAAAUAAUGAUUCCAUUAGUAGCGGCGAGCGAAACUGGAAGAGCCCAAACCAAUUUAUUGGGGUUGUAGGACAGCCUGUAUAAAGUUACAAAACUGUAUUAUAGUAGAAUAAACUGGAAAGUUUAAGCAUAGAAGGUGAAACUCCUGUACACGAAAUAAUAUAGACUUUUGGCUGUAUCCUGAGUAGGGCGGGGCACGUGAAACCCUGUCUGAAUCCGCCAGGACCAUCUGGCAAGGCUAAAUACUAAUAAGACACCGAUAGUGAACUA